CUUAGUCAAUGGUUUUCCUUCCCUUCUUAAUUGAUAAGGAAUAAGCAAUUCCGUUUCGAAAGAAAAAAAAUAAAAACAAAUGGAAAAUAACUAGCUGUAAGGUUGAGAUAGUUAAUAAGAAUAAUAAAGUUUAAUAAUUGGGUGAAAUAAAUUCAAGACAAUAGAUUUUCAGAGUAUCAGUUCAAGAGUGAUAAUCAAAGGGAGUGAUCAAUCAAGAGAGUCAUUAAAUUAAAGAGAGUGAUAAUUCAUUUGAGAGAUACAUUUUAAAGAGAGUUAUAUCCUCUAUUUACCAUUAAGAUUAUAUUUGUUUCCAUAUCUCAACUAACUCACAGCUAUGGAUUUAACAUCCUACAAUCAGAUUUUGAUGGGUAUAAUAUAUGGUAAUUAAGAGCCUAUCAUUAAAUAAAUUACACCGACUUUUACCAAAGUUGUUCCAGGUGUAGCUCUUCUCUGAUAAAUGAUUUUCAAUUUAUUCACAUUUCCUAGAAUUGGUAAAUUAAAAUUAUGCUGACACGUGUACAUGGGCAUUUAUAUUAGUCUUUGGAAAUAGAUAAAUGUAAUCAUAUGAUCCUUAUUCCAGGCAUUAUGGAAAAUCACUCAAUUUAGUUAGUUUGUGUAUAUAUUUUUUCUGGUAAAUUGACCAUGUCUUAGUUUCAAAGUUUAUAAAUAUAAAUGACUUUAAAACAUCUGAUAUGUCAUUAAUUCUCAAGAUUUUAAAAUAGAUUCUCAAUUGGGUACCAACA
Non-coding RNA from Pelobates cultripes (western spadefoot toad), 743 nucleotides. Lineage: Eukaryota; Metazoa; Chordata; Amphibia; Anura; Pelobatidae. The record is from the annotation of a GenBank genome assembly.